RNAcentral lists this ribosomal RNA (497 nucleotides) under uncultured bacterium. RNAcentral's name for it is "partial 16S ribosomal RNA". It matches the Rfam family "Bacterial small subunit ribosomal RNA", at positions 28 to 507 of the family's 1533-position model. The record is from RNAcentral.
GAUGAACGCUGGCGGCGUGCCUAAUACAUGCAAGUCGAACGGACGGACGAGGCGCUUGCUUCUCUGUUGUUAGGGGCGGGCGGGUGUGUAACACGUGUAUACCCUCCCUAUCAGACUGGGAUAACUUCGGGAAACCGGCGCUAAUACCGGAUGAUAUUUUGCACCGCAUUGUUCGAAGGUGAAAGACGGUCUUUCUGGCACUUAUAGAUGGAUCCGCGCUGCAUUAGAUAGUUGGUAAGGUAACGGCUUACCAAGGGUACGAUGCAUAGCCGACCUGAGAGGGUGAUCGGCCACACUGGAAGGUGGACGCGGACCAUACGACUAAGGGACGCAGCAGUAGGCAAUCGGACGCAGUGGUCGAAAGCCUGACGGAGCGACGCCACGUGAGAGACGAAGGUGUUGGGAGCGUAAAAAUCGCUUAUUAGGGGAGAACAGAUGUGGAAGGAAACGUAGACAUCGUGACGGUACCGAAUAAGAAAGCCACGGCUAACUACGUG